Molecule: unclassified non-coding RNA, 148 nt
Organism: Pongo abelii (Sumatran orangutan)
Lineage: Eukaryota; Metazoa; Chordata; Mammalia; Primates; Hominidae
Rfam family: Metazoan signal recognition particle RNA
About the family: The signal recognition particle (SRP) is a universally conserved ribonucleoprotein.
Source: Ensembl
UCCAGGCAUGGUGGCGCAUGCCUGUAAUCCCAGCUACUUGGGAGGUUGAGGCAGAAGAAUCGCUUGAAACCAGGAGGCAGAGGUUGUAGUGAGCUGAGAUCAUGCCACUGCGCUCUAUCCUGGGCGACAGAGCGAGACUUUGUCUCAA